This 175-nucleotide ribosomal RNA is filed under the name uncultured bacterium. Its description in RNAcentral is "partial 16S ribosomal RNA". It matches the Rfam family "Bacterial small subunit ribosomal RNA", at positions 362 to 525 of the family's 1533-position model. The record is from RNAcentral.
UUUUGGACAAUGGGGGCAACCCUGAUCCAGCCAUGCCGCGUGAGUGAAGAAGGCCUUCGGGUUGUAAAGCUCUUUCGGUGAAGACGAAACGGUUAGCUGUUAAUAACACUGACUAAUGACGGCUACNUCACAGAAGAAUGCACCGGCUAACUACGUGCCAGCAGCCGCGGUAAUA